RNAcentral lists this long non-coding RNA (4874 nucleotides) under Salmo salar (Atlantic salmon). RNAcentral describes it as "lncRNA (ENSSSAG00000103834.1)". Lineage: Eukaryota; Metazoa; Chordata; Actinopteri; Salmoniformes; Salmonidae. The record is from RNAcentral.
AGAUUCUGCUGCUGUGAACCUUACCGUCUGUCUGUCUGCAUGGCAGGAGGGGAGGAGAGGAAGGAUAGGGGGAGAAGAGGUAGAGAGGAGGAAUGGAGGGAGUAAGUGGGAAAAGAGAGGAGGCAGAGGGCUGGAGGGAGAGGAGAGCGAGGGAGAAUAGAGAUGUAGGGAGAGGGGAGGACCAGGGAGAUAGAGAGGGGAGAGUCGUUUUUUUACACAGACGCUCUCUAUCUUCCCAUCUCUCUUUUCAAUUACCUCUCCUCUCAUGUCACGCUCUUUGUCAUUAUCUGUUUCUCCUCUCUGCCAGAAUCUCUUUCCUUAUCCUCCUCUCUCUUGCUCUUUUCAUCAGCAUCUUACUCUCCUCUCUUUCUCUUCCCUCUAUACCUGCAUCUCUUCACCUCUUUCUCUCUUUUUCAGAAUGUCUUCCCUCUUUCUCAUCGCCCCUUACUCUCUCUAUUCUUUCUUUCCCCCUUCACUCGCUCACUUCUCCCUUCGCUCCCUCUGUUCUUUGUCUGACACAUCCCUCUCUCCCCUGCCAGACCCCCAGCUGUGACUGCUCCGGCUUGGCAACAGUUGUCAUGGAAACAGUCCUCUUAGCUCGUUACCAUGCGGCAGGUUUUGUUUUAUUGUUUUUACUUCCUGUUUUCCCCUAAUUAUACAGCAGCAUAUUAUGUGUUCUAGUGUUCUGGAACAGUCCUCAGUGUUCCACUGACAGGAACACAUUACAUCACCCUGGCAGAUACAUGCAGAAGACAGCAGCUUUUCAUUUUUUCCAGCUUUGCUGAUUCAUGAUUGAAAAGCAUCUUAUCAAAUGUAAUAAUAAGUGAAACAAAAAAACAAUCAUCCCAGAACGUUCUGAAUAAUUUCUGAAUAAUUUCAAUGAUAAAUUACAUUUCAUAACUUUGGGAAUAAUUUAAUAUAUAGAAUUGCCCCACAACAAAAUUGCAAGGAGCUAUCCGUAGAGCUCCGAUAUUUGUGAUGAGGCCUAUGUCUGGGGAAUGGUAUAAAGCAUUUUCUAGAGUGUUGAAAGUUUCCAAGAGCACAGUGGUCUCCAAAACAAUAUGAAACUACCCAGACGCUGCCUAGAGCUGGCUGUCUAACCAAAUUGAGCAACCAGGCAAAAAGGACCUUGGUCAGGGACGUGACCAUUGACAGAACUGCAGAGUUCCUUGACUGAGAUGUGAGAACCUGCCAGAAGGACAACAGACUCUACAGAACUUCACCAAUCUGGGCUUCAUGGGAGAGUGGCCAGAUGGAAGCCACUGCUACGAGCUCCGUGCAGCGGGACUCUGACAGAACAGAACCAUCUCCCAUAUCAGGAGAGGCCCAGGCCCCGGCCCGAGCACCGGCCCCCAGGGUGGGGGUGGGAGUGAGACAGCAACAGCAGCGUGUGAGGCGGAGACAGUGGGUGAGGCACGGGGCGUGCGGGCGGCUCUGAGGAAGACUAUGUCCGUUGACGACCGUCUGAUGCAGCCGGCGACCAGAGAACAGCAACGGCAGCACAGACUACUCAGCAAGAUGAAACUCAGGAACAUACAUAUCUAUCCACUGCCUUCGACACUGUGAACUAUCAGAUCCUCCUUUCCACCCUCUCAGGGCUGGGCAUCUCAGGCUCUGCACACUCUUGAAUUGCAUCCUACCUGGCAGGCCACUCCUACCAGGUGGCGGCACGCAUCUCUGCAUGCCUGGCAGGUAUCUCAGCUUGGAUGUCGGCCCACCACCUCAAUCUCAACCUCGACAAGACGGAGCUGCUAUUCCUCCCGGGGAAGGCCUGCCCGCACAAACACCUCUCCAAGGUUGACAACUCCACGGUGUCACCCUCCAUGAGUGCAAAGAACCUUGGCGUGACCCUGGACGAUACCCUGUCAUCCUCUGCAAACAUCAAAUCAGUGACUCGCUCCUGCAGGUUCAUGCUCUACAAUAUCCGUAGAGUACGACCCAUACCUCACACAGGAUGUGGCGCAGGUCCUAAUCCCCCCCCUUUCUGGCUCUCACUUUACUGAUGGCUACUUUAUUGAGGAAAAGUGUACUUACUAUGCCUGUGAUAUGUGGUUGUCCCACGUAGCUAUCUUAAGAUGAAUAUAUUAACUGUAAGUCGCUCUGGAUAAGAGCGCCUGCUUAUUGACUAAAAUGGAAGAGCAGGUGUUCCUAAUGUUUUCUACACUCAGUGUAUGUACUGGCUUUCUGUGUUCUGCCUAGAGAUUACAUUUGUUCUAUAAUAGAUUGAAAAUGGCUCUUUCACAAUUUACUUUCUGUGAAUCAUUGCAUCCUCUGUCCUCGCUUCCUUCUCAAUCAUAUUGGAGUAGAAGGUCCAAGGGUUCUUCAUUCUGACCUUCUUCUCCAAUGGGUUUUGAAAAGGAGGUGAGGAGAUGAAUUGAGGAAGCUAUACCAGUGUUUUCCCUGUACAUGGAGUUGCCAGCCAGGGAGUUCCAGGCUGGGGGUGUCCGGGCGAAGGUAGGCCCCCCGUGAAGAAAAAUAUACAGUUGAAGUCGGAAGUUUACAUACACCUUAGCCAAAUACAUUUCAACUCAGUUUUUCACAAUUCCUGACAUUUAAUCCUAGUAAAAAUUCCCUGUUUUAGGUCAGUUAGGAUCACCACUUUAUUUUAAGAAUGUGAAAUGUCAGAAUGAUAGUAGAGAGAAUGAUUUAUUUCAGCUUUUAUUUCUUUCAUCACAUUCCCAGUGGGUCAGAAGUUUACAUACACUCAAUUAGUAUUUGGUAGCAUUGCCUUUAAAUUGUUUAACUUGGGUCAAACGUUUCGGGUAGCCUUCCACAAGCUUCCCACAAUAAAUUGGAUGAAUUUUGGCCCAUUCCUCCUGACAGAGCUGGUGUAACUGAAUCAGGUUUGUAGGCCUCCUUGCUCGCACAUGCUUUUUCAGUUCUGCCCACAAAUGUUCUAUAGGAUUGAGGUCAGGGCUUUGUGAUGGCCACUCCAAUACCUUGACUUUGUUGUUCUUAAACCAUUUUGCCACAACUUUGGAAGUAUGCUUGGGGUCAUUGUCCAUUUGGAAGACCCAUUUGCGACCAAGCUUUAACUUCCUGACUGAUGUCUUGAGAUGUUGGUUCAAUAUAUCCACAUAAUUUUCAUUCCUCAUGAUGACAUCUAUUUGUGAAGUGCACCUGUCCCUCCUGCAGCAAAGCACCCCCACAACAUGAUGCUGCCACCCCCAUGCUUCACGGUUGGGAUGGUGUUCUUCAGCUUGCAAGCCUCCCCCUUUUUCCUCCAAACAUAACGAUGGUCAUUACGACCAAACAGUUCUAUUUUUGUUUCAUCAGACUAGGGGACAUUUCUCCAAAAUGUAUAUUUGUCCCUAUGUGCAGUUGCAAACCAUAGUCUGGCUUUUUUAUGGCAGUUUUGGAGCAGUGGCUUCUUCCUUGCUGAGCGGCCUUUCAGGUUAUGUCGAUAUAGGACUUGUUUUACUGUGGAUAUAGAUACUUUUGUACCUGUUUCCUCCAGCAUUUUCACAACGUCCUUUGCUGUUGUUCUGGGAUUGAUUUGCACUUUUCGCACCAAAGUACGUUCAUCUCUAGGAGACCUAACGCAUCUCCUUCCUGAGUGGUAUGACGGCUGCGUGGUCCCAUGGUGUUUAUACUUGUGUACUAUUGUUUGAACAGAUGAACAUGGUACCUUCAGGCAUUUGGAAAUUCCUCCCAAGGAUGAACCAGACUUGUGGAGGUCUACAAAAAAAAUUCUGAGGUCUUGGCUGAUUUCUUUAGAUUUUCCUAUAAUGUCAAGCAAAGAGGCACUGCGUUUGAAGGUAGGCCUUGAAAUACAUCCACUGGUACACCUCCAAUUGACUCAAAUUAUGUCAAUUAGCCUAUCAGAAGAUUCUAAAGCCAUGACAUCAUUUUCUGGAAUUUUCCAAGCUGUUUAAAGGCACAGUCAACUUAGUGUAUGUAAACUUCUGGGAUUGUGAUACAGUGAAUUAUAAGUGAAAUAAUCUGUCUGUAAGUAAUUGUUGGAAAAAUUAUUUGUGUCAUGCACAAUUGUCCUAACCGACUUGCCAAAACUAUAGUUUGUUAACAAGAAAUUUGUGGAGUGGUUGAAAAACAAGUUUUAAUGACUCCAACUUAAGUCUAUGUAAACUUCCGACUUCAACUGUAAGUAUCAUUAGCUUUUAUAAUCUUCAGUCUGUUUUCUUUUAUCAUAUGUUGGACCAGAGUGAGGCUCUCUCUCCAGUACCUAUUGUUCCUGCAGUGACGAGUCAACGUCUUCAUCGAAUAUUUUCAUAAUUUAUCUGUAGAUAAUCACCGAAAAGCAGUAGUAGCGUACCAGUAUGCAAGUUAGGGAGCCAAAUUAACGUCACUCCCAACGAUGCGUUUCGGUUCCUGACGUUCACCUAAAAGAGCCGUUCAAAAAGAGCCGUUCGCUCGGGAACAACCCAUCACUAGGCUACACUGACAAGUCACUUUAGCAAUCACGGCCAGGCCUCGACAAAACGCUUUGAAUUCUUGGAAAAUACGAACAAGAUUUUUGGUUUACAUGUCCCGAUACCAUGGACAUAUAACUACGUUGUAUGAAUUGUGAAUUGAAAAUGUACAGUAUAUAGGAGAUUGACUUUAUUCAGUCAGUUCGACACCUUUCAUAAACAAGCCAACACUUACUGUUCGGCCAUCAGUCAAAGCACAGUAAAUGGCCUAUGCUCCCCGACUCCAAGGCUUGCUACAGUGUAUAUGAAACGUGAGAAAGAAAAUAAAUGAAUGUGCCACAUAACAAUAAUAAAGUGGAUUUCAACUCAUCAUUACCACUUACAUUACAUGGGACAUGUAAAUCCCCUCACAGGAGACGAUGAAGAAGCAUCCGUGAAUAGUUAUUUUGUUGUUGACUGCAGCCAAUCACAGUGUACAAAAAUAACACAGGUACCAAGAGGCGG